RNAcentral lists this ribosomal RNA (253 nucleotides) under uncultured bacterium. RNAcentral describes it as "partial 16S ribosomal RNA". It matches the Rfam family "Bacterial small subunit ribosomal RNA", at positions 524 to 776 of the family's 1533-position model. The record is from RNAcentral.
UACGGGGGGGGCAAGCGUUGUUCGGAAUUACUGGGCGUAAAGGGCUCGUAGGUGGCCAACUAAGUCAGACGUGAAAUCCCUCGGCUUAACCGGGGAACUGCAUCUGAUACUGGAUGGCUUGAGUUUGGGAGAGGGACGCGGAAUUCCAGGUGUAGCGGUGAAAUGCGUAGAUAUCAGGAGGAACACCGAUGGCGUAGGCAGUCUACUGGCUCAUUCUUGACACUAAGGCACGAAAGCGUGGGGAGCAAACGGG